This 72-nucleotide transfer RNA is filed under the name Calumma guibei. RNAcentral describes it as "tRNA-His". The record is from RNAcentral. Lineage: Eukaryota; Metazoa; Chordata; Lepidosauria; Squamata; Chamaeleonidae.
GCUGCGGUAGUUUUUAAUAAAACAUUAGCCUGUGAAGCUAAAAAUGAAGUCAUACCACCCUCCCCCACAGCC